This 253-nucleotide ribosomal RNA is filed under the name uncultured bacterium. RNAcentral's name for it is "partial 16S ribosomal RNA". It matches the Rfam family "Bacterial small subunit ribosomal RNA", at positions 524 to 776 of the family's 1533-position model. The record is from RNAcentral.
UACGUAGGGUGCAAGCGUUGUCCGGAAUUAUUGGGCGUAAAGAGCUCGUAGGCGGUUUGUUGCGUCGGCUGUGAAAUCCCGAGGCUCAACCUCGGGUCUGCAGUCGAUACGAGCAAACUAGAGUGUUGCAGGGGAGACUGGAAUUCCUGGUGUAGCGGUGAAAUGCGCAGAUAUCGGGAGGAACACCGGUGGCGAAGGCGGUUCUCUGGGCAUGUCCUGACGCUGAGGAGCGAAAGCGUGGGGAGCGAACAGG